RNAcentral lists this long non-coding RNA (1478 nucleotides) under Anas platyrhynchos platyrhynchos (common mallard). RNAcentral's name for it is "lncRNA (ENSAPLG00000023929.1)". Lineage: Eukaryota; Metazoa; Chordata; Aves; Anseriformes; Anatidae. The record is from RNAcentral.
GCAACGUCUUCACCUGCUUGGUGGGCCACGAGAGGUUGCCCUUGCAAGUGGCCCAAAAAUCGGUGGACAAGUCCUCGGGUAAACCCACCUCGGUCAACGUCUCCCUGGUGCUCUCCGACACCGCCAGCUCCUGCUAUUAAAAAAAAAAAAAUCAUUUUUCCCCCCCACCAUCCUCCUCCUCCUUCCGUCGGUUUUAUCUCAACGUGUUCAAAAACCCCCCCAAAAAAUAGCCAUUUCGGUGCAAAAUGUGUUCAACUCCUCCUCUCCUCCCCCAAAAAAUAAUAUUUUUGCAAUGCAGAACAUCUCCCUAUAAUCCAUUAAUUAUAAUCCCGCCCCCUAUAAUCCAUUUUUUUAUUUUUUCAACAUUGGGAUGUGUUGAGAUCCCCCCCCCCAGAUUUCAUUCUGCAGUGUGAAAUGCGUUAAAACAUCCCCAAAAACGUGUUUCUGCAAUGCAAAAUGUGUUAAAUUCCCCCAAAAAGCUGUUUUUUGCCAUGCAAAAUUUCAUAAAGCCCCCUAAAAAUGUGCUUUUGUGAUGGGAAAAGUGGUAAAAUACCCACCAAAACGUCUUUUUGUGAUGUUAAACAUUUUUAAAUCCCCUCCAAGUUGGUUUUUGCAGUGGGAAAAGUGUCCAAAUUCCACCCAAAUGUGAUUCUGCAGGGCAAAAUGUGCCAAAAAUCCCCUCAAAAAAAAAAAAAAAAAUAUGCAAUGUCAAAAAAAACCUGUUUCUGCAAUGCAAAAUGUAUAAAAGUCCCCCAAAAAAUGUUUCUGCAGUGCAAAAAAAAUAUAUGAAUUGUUUCUUCGAUGCAAAAUGUACCCCAAAUCCCCCCCAAAAAACUCUGUUUCUGCAUCCCAAAACUUGUCAACCUCCCCCCUUCGGGAUUUGUAUCCGCGGUGCAAAACCUGUGACCCCCCCUCCCCUCUCCCCGAGGGAGAACCGACGGAAAUAAAGCAAAACGAUGGAUUUUUGUUGGAAAACUGACCAAAAGCUCAUUUUUUGUCCGGGCUGGGCGGGGUGGGGGGCGCGCGGCGGUGCAGGCGGCGGCUGCGUGCAUCUUGGUCUUUGUAAAUCCUUCGUUUCGUCCUUUUUGGAUCAUGUUUUUUUGGAAAUCUUUGCAUUUUGGUCAUUUCAAAUCCUUGACUCUUGGUCUUUGCAUCUUGGUCUUUGUAAAUCCUUCGUUUCGUCCUCUUUGGAUCAUGUUUUUUGGAAAUCUUUGUGUCGUGGUUUUUGCAUCUUGGUCUUUGCAAAUUUUUCCUUCGUCCUCUUUGUAUCUUGGUCUUUGCAUCUUGGUCUUGGCAUUGUGCUCGUUCCAAAUUCUUCGCAUUUCUUGCACAUUUCUUUGCAAACCCUUUGCUUUUUGCUUUUUGCAAAUCCCUUUUUUUUUUUAUUUUUCAUGCUCUUUUUGCAUCGUGCUCUUUGCAGACCCUUUGCUUCUCUUGCCUCGUGCUCCUCAUCCCUUUGUGUCCUCCUCAUCCUCGUG